This 138-nucleotide microRNA precursor is filed under the name Olea europaea subsp. europaea. The record is from RNAcentral. Lineage: Eukaryota; Viridiplantae; Streptophyta; Magnoliopsida; Lamiales; Oleaceae.
GUAUGUGUGUGUGUGUGUGUGUGUGUGUCUAUAUAUAUAUAUAAAUAUAUGUAUGUAUGUAUGUAUGUAUGUAUGUAUGUAUGUAUGUCUAUAUAUAUAUACAUAUAUAUACACACACACACACACACACACACACAU